Camelus dromedarius (Arabian camel) is the source of this 477-nucleotide long non-coding RNA. RefSeq lists it as uncharacterized. NCBI's taxonomy places the organism in Eukaryota, Metazoa, Chordata, Mammalia, Artiodactyla, Camelidae. The transcript has 2 exons. The record is from RefSeq and is a predicted model, not a curated record.
UUGGCAGGGCCUUGAGGGAGAGGGAACAAGGGGGGUUACUGUUCAACAGGUAGUUUCAGUUUGCAAGGUGACGACGUCCUGGAGCCCGGCUAUAAGACAUGACUAUACCUACCACCACCGCCCUGUACACUGAAAACUGGGCAUGAUGGUCAAUUUUAUACGAUGCGUUUUUUGUCCACAAUUGGAAAUUUUAAAAAUUUUCAAAAGUUGGGGAGGGGAGGGCUGGAAAGAUACCACACCUGACUCAAAGCUGCUGUGCCGUGCUCUGUCCUCCCACCUGGAGUGCAGGGGGAAGGUCAUGAGAAGACCGGAGUGAUGCUGCCACAAAAGCCAAGGAACCACCAGAGGCUGAAGAGGGGCCUGGAACAGAUCCUUCCCUGGAACCUUCCUAAGGAGCACAGCCCUGCUGACACCCUGAUCUCGGACUUCCAAUUUCCAGAACAGGGAGAAAUAAAUAAAUUUCUAUUGUUUAAGCCA